This 440-nucleotide ribosomal RNA is filed under the name uncultured bacterium. RNAcentral describes it as "partial 16S ribosomal RNA". It matches the Rfam family "Bacterial small subunit ribosomal RNA", at positions 338 to 795 of the family's 1533-position model. The record is from RNAcentral.
CCUACGGGAGGCAGCAGUGGGGGAUAUUGCACAAUGGGGGAAACCCUGAUGCAGCGACGCCGCGUGGGUGAAGAAGCGCCUCGGCGCGUAAAGCCCUGUCAGCAGGGAAGAAAAUGACGGUACCUGAAGAAGAAGCCCCGGCUAACUACGUGGCAGCAGCCGCGGUAAUACGUAGGGGGCAAGCGUUAUCCGGAUUUACUGGGUGUAAAGGGGGCGCAGACGGCGAUGCAAGCCAGGAGUGAAAGCCCGGGGCCCAACCCCGGGACUGCUCUUGGAACUGCGUGGCUAGAGUGCAGGAGGGGCAGGCGGAAUUCCUGGUGUAGCGGUUAAAUGCGUAGAUAUCAGGAGGAACACCGGUGGCGAAGGCGGCCUGCUGGACUGCAACUGACGUUGAGGCCCGAAAGCGUGGGGAGCAAACAGGAUUAGAUACCCCAGUAGUC